AUCCACCUGACGAGUCCCAAAUAGGACAAAACACGCGUUCUAGAA
This is a non-coding RNA of Schistosoma mansoni, 45 nucleotides long. NCBI's taxonomy places the organism in Eukaryota, Metazoa, Platyhelminthes, Trematoda, Strigeidida, Schistosomatidae. The record is from Rfam.